GUGCCAGCCGCCGCGGUAAUACGGAGGGGGCUAGCGUUGUUCGGAAUUACUGGGCGUAAAGCGUACGUAGGCGGCUUUGUAAGUUAGAGGUGAAAGCCCGGGGCUCAACCCCGGAAUUGCCUUUAAGACUGCAUCGCUUGAACGUCGGAGAGGUGAGUGGAAUUCCGAGUGUAGAGGUGAAAUUCGUAGAUAUUCGGAAGAACACCAGUGGCGAAGGCGGCUCACUGGACGACUGUUGACGCUGAGGUACGAAAGCGUGGGGAGCAAACAGGAUUAGAUACCCCCGUAGUCC
RNAcentral lists this ribosomal RNA (292 nucleotides) under uncultured bacterium. RNAcentral describes it as "partial 16S ribosomal RNA". It matches the Rfam family "Bacterial small subunit ribosomal RNA", at positions 505 to 796 of the family's 1533-position model. The record is from RNAcentral.